ACCCCCACUGCAGCACGUGUGGUCAGUGAGGUGGUGGCCCACAGUGUCCAGCAGAACAGUGACAGGACAAGAUGGGAAAACUGAGCUGGCGAGAGCCGCCAUCACAGCCCACCCCAUAUCUUGCCCCACGACAAUGAGGCGUUUGUAGAAGCUUCGCUGGUCCCCACCCACAGGAUGGCAGAGAGACCCCCCAGCCCCUCCAGGGCAGCCCAAGAGGAGGAUGGGGCUCCCCAGGAGAGCAGCUCUCCAGCAGAGCCCCAUGAUGUGACUGCAGAGCAGCCCCUGCAACUGGAUGCCAGCUGGCUGCCAAUGUACAGAGUGAAGCAGAAAGCCCUAGACUUUCUCCAGGAAUUUGCCAGGAGCCCCUACCAGGGUGAGGAUGACAAAAGGAAGUUCCUGGAGAACAUCAUCUAUGUGUGCAGAAGUGCCUUGGACACUGGCUUGUUAGAGGGCCUGGAAAUCUUCUUCCAAAAUAUCAAUCUGGUAGAGAAGAUCAAGAUGCUGCUGGAAGAGGAGCCCAAGAAGCAUCUGCGCUCACCUGUGAGGGAGCUCGCCAUGCGGGCCAUCACUGUUUUGAGCUCUGUGGGCACAGUGCUAGAGGGCAAAAGGAGAAGCCUCCUCGAAGCCUGUAUCUCCAGUGUCUUCUGGCUUCCUUCAAACAAGGGCAUGAGGCAAAGAAACAGAUACUACUCAACAACCUUGGAUGCCAUGGAUGUCAUGCUGGAGACGAUGGUGUUCAACUCUCCUCCACCCAGAGUCGUUGAGGAGCUGCAGCACAUCUUGGAGAUGCUGCUGGACCUGAUCGACUCUGAGAACACAGAUGUGCAGAUGAGGGCUGUGGAGAGGAUUGGGAAUCUGAGCUAUGCACUGUCCACACAGAAGCACUGGCCUGAUGACUUCAGAACAAAACAGAUCCCCAUCCUGGGACAGCUGCUAGGUCGUCUUCUCUGCUUCCAGUUUUCUGAGGGAAAGACAAAACAUUCAGCUUCAAGAGCUUUUUAUUACCUCUGUCAAUUCAUCUUUGACAAAAACAGGAGGAUAUCAUACCCUGAAGAGUACUAUAGAAAACACCUGCGUCUACCUGUCACCUUCUUGCAGUGGUGCAACAACAUCAGAGCCCAGAUCAAGGCCUUGGAAUGUUAUCUCACACCUUCUGAGAGGACGUACAUCAUGCUUGCAGCCAUCGAGGCGAUGCAGGACUCCAGCACCUCUGGCCAUCAUGCAGCAAGACACUUCCUGCAGCUGGCCAUGAGAUCCCCUGACUUCUGGCUGACAGAUGUGCCAAGCAUUGUGAGGGGCAUCCAUGAGUGCCUGGAGCACACCAGCCUGGCAUCUGAUGUGGAGAGCCUGGACACCUUGCUUGCAGUGCUGGCUCACAAAUUCCCCAGGGAACUGGUGAGCAGCAUGUUGACUUCCACAGCACCAUAUGACAGCAUCGCCCUGGCCGUGUGGGACCAGAUGUAUUCUCAGCUCAACAUCACGUCCAACUUCUGGAUGGAGCUGCAGGGAAGGGUUCACUCACUGGAAGAACAGGACGGCGAGCUCUUCAGCCCCACUGUGUUGUAUGCCAUCAGAGUUUAUAAGGUGACACUGAACCCUACCAACACUGAAAUCGCUGACCUCCUCAGGGACAGUCAGAAGUGUCCAAAGCCGGAAUUUCUCUCACUUGCACUCACAGGUCUCAGCAAUGCCUUGAAGAGUUCUGAGAUGGCAAGAAGACUUCGGUUCCUGCUGCCGGACAUUGUGGAGCUCCUGCAGCACACCAACAAAGUCAUCAGGCUAAAGGCCCUGCGGGUGCUGCACAUCAUGGUGCAGCACAUAGGGAGGAAUGGUGCCAGCAGAAUGGCCGUGCGGCUCUUGCAGCAGCUCCUGCCACUCUUUGAUGAUGAGUGCACUGAGGUGCGAGAGUACUCCAUCUUCCUCUUCAAACAACUGGUGGAAGCUGCAGUGUGCUGGGACGUGUGGAGGAUGAAACGAAAAGCACGGAAGGGAGUGAUGCCACUGCUCCUCCACAUGACUGAGAUGUCCGAGAGCGUGGCCCAGGUCUCCAGGGAAGCCCUCCUUUCCGUGGCUGAGAUCCUGGGGUGGGAAGAGCUCAAGCAGCCGAUCGAAACAAAGCACCCGCUGGAUAUCGCAGAGCGCUUGCUGGAGAGAAACAUUAACAGGGUAGAAGAGUACCUGGAACAGAGCUGGCCAUACCUGCAGUGCCCUCAGACCACCGUGAGAGAGACAGCCCGCCGGUUCACUCUGAUGGCCAGGUGGUACCUGAGGGACCUGAACGACGACGAUAACCUCAGCAUCAUGACUGCUAAGUCCUCGGACGCAACCCGUGAGUCCCAGUCCCUGGCAGCUCGGGUCAACCGGAUGCUGAGAGCUCUCCGCCUGCAGCGAAGACUCAGAGCAACCUGCCGAGUGCUGUGCUGUGGGUGCUCAUGCUGGUGCUGAGUCAGACACAGGGGUCACUUUCCUUGAGGACACAGGGAAUAGAAUUUAACAAAACUUGCGACGAAUUUAAUAAAAUCGGUGAAAAUAAAAACAGGCUUGGUUUGGGGGAAGGAGGUUCGUCCAGGACGGAGGAGGCAUUUGAGAUAGACAUGGUUCCUUUCCUUGUGCUCAGCCACCCACCCCUGAGGCUCACCAGGAUCUAAAUGGCCCGUGACAAAAGACCUAUGAUUAAGUGCUUCUUUGCUUUGUUACACUUCUGGGUGAAACUGGUGUUCCUGAAAAUAAAAUAACUGAAAAAAGAUGAAAAGGAGAGAGGACUGAUUGCAGACAGUGCUGGAGGCUCUUCAGUGUUUGGUCCAAAUUUGCUGGAAUUUUAGUCACAACUCCUUUUGGGUCAAAUGCAACAUUUUACUCAACCAGAAAUAAAGCAUUUAAUUUUA
RNA transcript from Pseudopipra pipra, 2885 nucleotides. RefSeq lists it as uncharacterized. The transcript has 21 exons. Lineage: Eukaryota; Metazoa; Chordata; Aves; Passeriformes; Pipridae. The record is from RefSeq and is a predicted model, not a curated record.